CCGCGGCGGGCCGGGUCUCCAGGGAGGACCUGAGUUUUCUUCACCCAUUGUCAGGGAGGCGCCAUCGCCCUGGCUUUGGGGCUGGGGCCUCCGGGGAGGUUCCGGUAGGGGCGUUGGAGAGGCCGCUCUUUUUGCAAGGCCCGAGACGGCGGGCCUUGCGCAGGCCGCCCUAUUCCGCGCCCUCAGGGCGUCAGUAUCAGCCUGAGGCUGGAUACCCCCGCUGGGCCCAGAUGCCCCCGCUGGGCCCGGAGCAUCCUCCGGCGCUGCCCUCCCAGAGCCACGCAGAGGCUGAGGUGGCGCGGGGGCGGCCCUGGCUCCGCGAGAAGCGGCGGCAGCGAGGGCUGGAGGACCCGGGCUGCGGGGCUCCGGGGCGUCUGGCCUGGGUGGGACUGAGCCCAUCCAGGGACUGGGACUCCGGGGUUCUGGUGUAGGUGGAUCCGGGGCAGGCUCAGGACCAAGUCCCUCUCCUUCCACCAAGGAGCGCCCAGAGGCCGGCGGGAGCUCCAGGUUCACCUCCUCCUCCUCCAGGAAAUCCCACUUCCAACUGGAUGUCUGGAUGAACUACUGAAAGCUGCUGAGUGUCCUGCAGCAGGCCAUUUCCAAUCCAGCGGAAGACCUUCUAGAAGAGAUGAUGGUGGGAGAGUGCUGACAUACUAUGUGAAGCUACUAUUUGGAGUUGGACACGAGUGCAUGUGUCCUUGUGCCACAACGGGAAUCUUGACUACAACACAAAUGAAUCCACUCAAAUGUUGGCAAGUGGAGCAGAGUCCCAGAACAGGUGCUGGAGCAGCCCCCCUGGAAGUGAUGCAGCAUCCAGGAAGACGGAGGAAGGGGCGGAGAAGGACCUCUGCUUUCCAGGCUGCCUUUUAUACUGCCUCUGGUCACCUGACGUGGAACGUACCCUAACCUAAUCAGUUACAU
RNAcentral lists this long non-coding RNA (921 nucleotides) under Homo sapiens (human). RNAcentral describes it as "HSALNT0133164". The record is from RNAcentral. Lineage: Eukaryota; Metazoa; Chordata; Mammalia; Primates; Hominidae.